CCUCUCUCUCUGUCUCUCUCUCUCCAGCCCCGCUAUCUGCAGGAGUCACACUGCAGGUCCCGCGACUCCCCAGUUGGAGGAGUUCAUUGAGGGGACCUGAUGGCCAGUUGCCCCGCGAGUUGAACCCGGGCAACCGGAGCCCCAACCCACCUUCCCUUGAUCCGUGGAGUGUGUAUCCCGCUUGCCCUCGUGCUCUAUAAGUGCCCAAGGACGCAGUUUUGAGAUAGCAAUGCUGUGUUGAAACCUUCUGGACGGUAUUCGUGACUCAGUUAAAAAGCCUCUCUAUAAACUUGAUUUCUGGUGGGCAGGUAGGAGAUCAGCUUUUUCGGCUGCCCAAGACAGGCUUCCUAUGUAAAUCCUCUGCCACCUACCAAUCUGGAGUGGCCAGCUCCGAAGGUUUCUCCGGGCACUCCACACUAGGGGCGGUUUCAGAUUACACGCGCCAGCUCCACAAGCCCUCCACACUAAGUUAGCUACUUGCCUGUGUCAGAGGGUCAGCAGCCACAGGGGAGUGAUUCCGACGGGGGAAGAUCGGGAGAGGUCCAGGUGUGCUUUCCACCUUCAGUGCCCACGCUUCUUAAUUUGCUGCAACGAGUACAGUGUCCUGAACACUUUGUUUUCCCUCUCGACCUUGCACACAAAAACAGCCCUUCUCUUGGAGGGGGAUGGAAACCCAGAGCAAGGUGGGGGCCAGACGGUUGGCCAACAUGAGUCCUCCAUUCACUCGUCUAGCACUUCCUGUCCUCAGAGAAAAAUAAGAUCAAGACCCGGUACCUGCCUUUAUACAAUCUAAUGGCAGAGGAGAGAUCUACAAAUACUUGCAGCCGCCAAGCGGUGCGUGGUGCCAUGGCUUGCUCUGCACCUAGCUGGCACCGGCCCUCCCAAGUUACCCGGUCCUCACUGGGGCAGCGCUGAGCACGUGUCAUGGUAUUCACAAUUACUGGGCACUUUUUCAUUAGAGGCGACAUCAGGAGAGAAAUAUUUUCCUUGCCUGUGCUUCCUCAACAUGUCCAGGGGACUGCAAAAAAAGUUAAAAAGCUCUAGAAGCACAUUUUAAACGAAUUAAAAGUCCUAUCAGUGACCUUUUAACUUAUGCUAUAUAAGGGUCAGGUUAUUGGGGAAGGUGACAGAGGCAGAAGCCUGAAAGAAUCUCAGAGAAGGAGGAGGACCACCGUUCUUACCUUGGAGACUCAUGCUGUUGGACACCCCCAUCCCGGUCACGCCACUGCCGACGGCCAGCCCUGAUGGGAACAGUCACGUGCCAGGGACAGAGGAAGCUGGGGUAACAGGAGGGUCCUCGGCAGGGAGACCCCUGUGAAGCUGGGGGGCCUGCAGCACUGGAGGACACCACCACCCAAGGACAAGUCUGGAGUCAUUCUUGGGGAGGUCACAGCUCAGAGUUUGCUUCUCUGUUGCUUCCAGAGCCAGGAUGCAGACUCCCGAGACCUCACUAAUGGAGCCAGAACUUGCGUCUGCGCCCCGAGCCACCCACCUGGCAGUGCCUGAUGGGAGGAGGCCUGUGUGCAGUGACCUGUUGACCGUUGACCGCUGGAGCAGGGCUUUUUCGGUGCAGUCCCAGGCGUGCCGCCCCUCGGUGACACACUUGCCGCCAGCCUCUUCGGUGACUGUGAGGACAAAACACCCUUCCAAAUUCAAAGUCCUCCAGCAGGAAUCCCUGCCCAUUCUUAAAAAAUCCAUGCUGUGUUCUCCGAGGGGACUUUUUAGCCAGUACUUUUUUUUUUUUUUUUUUAGUAUUGUCCCAAAGUUAAAACUUACGUGAUUUAUUAGGCUGAUCAGGCUGGGAGUGCUUCUCUGACAAGAAUCUUGUUUUAGCCCUGGCUGGGGUGGCUCAUUGGAUUGAGUGCUGGCCUGGGAGCCAACGGUCUAGAUAAAUAAGUAAAAAAUACUCUUUAAAAUAAAUUUUUAAAAGAUUUUAUUUAUUUAUUUUUAGAGAGACGGGAAGGGAGGAAGAAAGGGAGAGAAACAUCGAUGUGCUAGAGGUACAUCCAUCGGUUGCUUCUAGUAUACCCCCAACUGGGGACAUGGCCUGCAACCCAGGCAUGUGCCCUGACUGGGGAUUGAACUGGGGACCUUUGGUUCACAAGCCAACACUCAAUCCACUGAGCCACACCAGCCAGGGCUAAAAAAAAAAAAAAAAAUUUAAAAAUUUAAAAAAGAAUCUUGCUUUAAAUGUUGUUUUUGAAACUACAUUGCAACAGAAUAAGCAAGUCAUCUGAUAAAGGACUAAUUGUGCAAGAAGUGCCUGACCAAAUUUUAUCAGAUUUUUAAAAAAUUGAGGUAUAUAGCCUGGCUGGCGUAGCUCAGUGGAUUGAGCGCGGGGCUGUGAACCAAAGUGUCGCAGGUUCGAUUCCCAGUCAG
Long non-coding RNA from Phyllostomus hastatus (greater spear-nosed bat), 2379 nucleotides. RefSeq lists it as uncharacterized. The record is from RefSeq and is a predicted model, not a curated record. The transcript is spliced from 4 exons. Lineage: Eukaryota; Metazoa; Chordata; Mammalia; Chiroptera; Phyllostomidae.